CAUUAGUCUAAGAAUAUAACAGAACGAUCAUUUUGUUAUAAAAUUGAAGUUGAUCGAUGACUAUCUUGUUACAUAUUAUAGAUCAGUGAUCAUUUUGUUACAAAAUUGAAAUUGAUCGAUGACCACUUUAUUACAUGUUAUAGAUCAGUGACUAUUUUAUUACAAUCUUUUAUAGGUCAGUGAUCAAAAAAGUAAUUAACCCAU
RNAcentral lists this long non-coding RNA (204 nucleotides) under Elaeis guineensis (African oil palm). RNAcentral's name for it is "long non-coding RNA (EGUI_LNC028899)". The record is from RNAcentral. Lineage: Eukaryota; Viridiplantae; Streptophyta; Magnoliopsida; Arecales; Arecaceae.